RNAcentral lists this ribosomal RNA (253 nucleotides) under uncultured bacterium. RNAcentral's name for it is "partial 16S ribosomal RNA". It matches the Rfam family "Bacterial small subunit ribosomal RNA", at positions 524 to 776 of the family's 1533-position model. The record is from RNAcentral.
UACAGAGGGUGCGAGCGUUAAUCGGAAUUACUGGGCGUAAAGCGUGCGUAGACGGUUAUUUAAGUCGGGUGUGAAAGCCCCGGGCUCAACCUGGGAAUUGCAUUCGAGACUGGCGGGCUAGAGUAUGGCAGAGGGGGGUAGAAUUCCACGUGUAGCAGUGAAAUGCGUAGAGAUGUGGAGGAAUACCGAUGGCGAAGGCAGCCCCCUGGGCCAAUACUGACGCUCAUGCACGAAAGCGUGGGGAGCAAACAGG